Molecule: long non-coding RNA, 572 nt
Filed under: Equus caballus (horse)
Lineage: Eukaryota; Metazoa; Chordata; Mammalia; Perissodactyla; Equidae
Description: lncRNA (ENSECAG00000046372.1)
Source: RNAcentral
AUAAACUUGUCUAUGAAGCCCUGAGCAGCCACCUGGAUCUCAGCCUGGAUUAUUUGCAAAAGGUCUCAGUUCACAUCCCCGCCCACCCCGAAGGAGGCUUGGGAGGAAGAGCCUGCAGCUGACACCUUCCAACAACUUCUGCCCUCUGUAUUUCCUGCUCAGUGGCCUCACUCCGGUGUGGGGAGAUCCAUUAGGCACAACAGGAGAGGAGAAUACUAUCAGAUCAUGGAAGAUAGCAUCUGAGACAAGCUCCCCCAGAGAGACCGGCUGGAACAGGCCACCCAGCUCUUCCUUGGUAGGACUUACAGAGAGCCACAUGCAGACGGCUGUCCCAGGUAUCUCUCCUACCCAACCCACCCAGGGCUAUAUCACCUUGAAAAAUUCAUUCCUCUGGAGUUAGGCAUGGCAGGGCCAAAAGGCCUUCUCGGAGAGGUAACUCCACUCAGGACAACUUGGCCUGCAUAAAUGGACCGACAGUCUCCUUGUGGAGAAAAUGGAACCCAAGAUGGCAUGAGUUUGAAUAGCAAGGUGGGGUGGGAGCUAUUAGUGGAUGUGGAAAUAUCUGGAGCGUA